GAUAGUAAGUACUGCGAUAUGCUGCAAGAACACAAACACAUAUCACAGUCUACUUGCUGUCUC
RNAcentral lists this microRNA precursor (63 nucleotides) under Ascaris suum (pig roundworm). RNAcentral describes it as "Asu-Mir-2-o10_pre stem-loop". Lineage: Eukaryota; Metazoa; Nematoda; Chromadorea; Rhabditida; Ascarididae. The record is from RNAcentral.